RNAcentral lists this long non-coding RNA (12372 nucleotides) under Homo sapiens (human). Its description in RNAcentral is "non-protein coding RRS1-AS1:8". Lineage: Eukaryota; Metazoa; Chordata; Mammalia; Primates; Hominidae. The record is from RNAcentral.
CUUGCCCUUCUGGCUCAUUUUCCUCCUCUUGGCGGCCUCCUCCUGGUCCUCCUCCCUCAUCUGCUUAUUGGUGGCCCUAGUCACAUCCAGCUGAGGCUUCUUGCUGUUCAUGACACGAAGCAGCUCCAACUGGUUCUUUUUCUCGGCUGCAAAGUCCCCGAAAAGGGGUUGAAACUUCCUUUUCUUGCCGGAGCCCCGGGGCACCUUCUCCUUGGGGAGGCGCUCCUGAAAGCGCCCCACAGAGGCGGUGGAGACCUUGGCCACUUGCAUGGCGCGGCCCAGCUCCUCCUUACUCUGGUGUCCGGUAGGGUGCAAGCCGGCCGCGCUGGGCAGCUGCAUCUUGUGCGCGCGGGCCAGGUUACGCAGCCGGUUCAGCUCGUUCUUGGCCACCCUUUCCUUCUUGGCCUGAAUCCGCUUGGCGAACUGGUCCUCCAAGGGGUCGGCAUUGCCGGGCACCUCAAUCAGCCAUUCUUUGGUGUCGUCCCGGGCGCGCUGGUAGCCCCAGCGCCGCCGCCACUGGCCACUCACCUCGUCCCACACCAGAGACAGAAACUGAAAACCAUGGUUUCAGGCUGCUAAAAACCUAACAUGAAACAAAACAGAAGAACAACAACAACAAAAUAAGGAAGAGUGACCUAUGGGAUCCAUGGAGGAGCUGCUUCCUGAAUCUGUGUAAAGUAGAUCUUGCCGUGUGGGUAACUGUGACUGCGGUGGCCAUGAAGAGGCACAACUCAGACCUCGGAUCUCCUGCUGCAGAGAACAUUGACUGACAGCCCAGCAGCUCCUGUCUGGAUCUACCACCUGUUCACAAUUCUGAAAUACAUUCAACGCACACUUUCCUACUGAGAUUUCUAAAAUGGGACUUGGAAAACAGAAAAAUACUAAAGUGGGGUACUAUCAUCUAAAUCUCCAAAAAGGUCAUUCAACUCUGAUCCCUGUUUAAAGAGAGAAAAAAGGAAUAAAGGAGCCUUUGAAGGCAGAAUAUUGCUCACUCAUCUCUUUGAAAGGACCUCAGACUGCAGAGCAGAAGAACCACUGGCUACAUCAGCUGGGGCAGAGGGGGAUGAAGAGAACAUCAUGAUGCCUGCAAAAAAGUGGGCUCUGCAGGAUCUCCAGUCACCUCCCUUCCCUUCAGAUCCAGAGCUCUCUCUGGCUAGGACCUUCCAGAGUUCCAGAAUUUUUGUUCCACCUUCCAUUGCUCACUUCUAUUACUAUUACUAAGAUAUUCACAUGGAAUUCUGUGCAAACCAUUUUUUUUUUCUUUUGGUGCCCUCUUUGUUUUACUUCCUCUAUUGGGACUAAUGGCCAUCUGACUUGGGGGUCCUUUGUUUUUUGUGACAAACCACCCUCAGCAGAUUUCCUUGAGGUCCAUUUGCUCAAGGGCCUUAAAGCUUUUUGGAGUAAUACAGAGUAAGUUUCUAGACAGCCUCUUGUGCUCUGCAGUAAGCUAAAGUGGAAGAUUAAGAUGCCUGGUGUAUACUGUGUGUUUCCCAUGUAAUGGCAGAAAAGGAAUGGGGCUCAUUAGUUACUUUAAGGUGGCAGCAGCUACCUUAGAGAAGACUGCAUUGCUUGUACUGAUUCAAAAGAGCACCUAAUGAAGGGAAAAAGCAGAAAUAAGCCAAGACUUGAGCUGAGUGAUUCGUUGAAUCAGCCAAGGAUAAUGUUCUUCAGGCACUAUGCACAUGUCACUGAUCAGUAGCGCUUCUCUUAAGCUUCAACAGCACUCACUUCCCCUGUCUUGAUGAGGGAGCAGCAUUUUCACUGGAUGCAAACUGUGAGGCACUGUCUGGGCAAGCAGAUUGGUUACUAAUGAGGAAACUGGCACUGACAGCCUUUUGGGUUCUGAUUGAAGAAAAGAGAUGUCUUCGCAUCAGAAUGGUUUAACUUUCAAUGUGGCAUAUCAACUGGUUGAAAUUAGGGAGAGAGAGAAAGAGAAAUUUAAUUGUCAGGCUGUGGUGCGUAGUGUCAAAGCUACCUAGAUUAUGAGAAAUACGUCUUUUCAACAGCUUAAAGGCCACAGCUCUCAACAUUUUUUCUGCAUGUACAACACAGACAGGAUCCAGAAAUCCCAGCCUAUAACUCUUGGUUCCGUCAAAUACUCAACAGAGAAAACAGAAGUAUUUGAUUGUGGUAUUAACUAUGAAAUGUUCCCUAUUAGCCAUAUGAUUCUAUUAGCUCAGCUCAUUCCUGUUAGAUUUAUAGAAACAUUAGAGAUAAUUGGAAUUAGAAGGGCCAAGAGAGACGAUCCAAUCCCAUAUAGAGAAAAGCAAGACCCCUGCUCUCACUGAAGAAGUUUUAAAAAUAAUUAAACAACAAACAAACAAAUUGAGGCCCAGAGAGAUGAAGUAAUUUGACUGAUGUAUUCCAUCAGUGACAGACCUGGGACUGGAGCUCCAUCUCAGCUCUCAGCCCACUAAGAACCCUGUUCAUGGUGCCAUACUAGCAACCCCCUUCCUGUAGGAGUCUUUGAGAGUCAGAAUGACUUCUUGACUGAGAGGUACAUGUCUCUAGGAUAAGGACAAUUGAGGGGAUAAUGAGGAAAGAAAUAAUGUAAGUUAACUAUAUUUUGCCACAUGCCCUCCUCUCUCCAUGAAUCCAGGAUGUUGACCCAUAUCCAGCAUCCAUUGUGGGACUAAGUCUCGGACACCAAGGACUUCUAAGGAGCCUGCUCCAAUCUGAAAUGACUGUGGGGGAGCUGGCCAUUCCCCGAGCCAUUCUUGGAAUAUUGGGCCACAGGGGCCACUGGGGAGCAUGUAUAGGUAGGGGCGGCUUUGAUAUAAGCCUAGGUAUUCAAUUCUUCAUGGGACCCCCAAUGCUACCCCAAGUCUGCACCUUGAUUCCCAAAUACCCAAGAGAGACAAAAUGUCCUACUUUCUCUCUGAAGUUCUUCUAAUGUUGGAAGACCUAGGGUGGAGGCAAACCUUUCAGAGAAUUUCUGCUGGGAUUUAAAUGUAUGUCUAGCUGGCUUUAGACAUUAGAAGACUGUAAUAUGUACCUUAAUAAGUUGCCUUUCCCAUGGUGUUUGUUAUCCUCAGAAGACCCCCAUAGUGACUCUAGGAGACAAUUCUCAUAUCUUCUGAACUGUGCAUGUUCAUAGUUUUUCUGAGCAGGGUUUGCAUCUAGCAGCGAUGGAGGUAUAGGAGGUCACAGGCAACACUGCGUGCCUCACACAACAUUGUAGAUCAAGACACAGUUAAAUGGGCUGGCAAUUCUGAGUUUCUGAGUCCAGUCCCAUGACUAGUAUAGCUGUCAGAACUAGAGGGGCCAACCCUGGGAAUCUUGGAGAUGCUUUAUGAAUAUAUGAGAUUUCAGGCAUCCAAGCUCUUCUAUUUGUUUACAUGUAUUCUCAAUGUCUAUCUCCCAUUAUCAAAUCUAUUCCAAAAGUAUUUUUUCAACACUUGCUGGAGACUCUUGGAUAAAGCUAGUAAACGUGCUUUUAUUAAGCUCCAACUCUGUGCUGACCACUUAUACAUAUAUUGUCUCAGUUGCACUCAAAAUGCUAUUGUGUGUUAGGGUUCUUUCUUACAGAUUUUGAAACAGUGUCUUGGAGAGGUUAGGUGAAUUGCUCAAAAGACGCAGCAAGCACAGAGCUGUGACUUGGUCCUGUCUUAUCUGCUUUGGGGUUAUGGGUAGUUUAUCUUUAUAUGCCUAUUUUAACAGUAGACCCUCAACCACUGAAAUUGACAGGAAAAAGUAUGUGGUUGUUUUACCAAACAAACAAACAGACAAAAAACCAAACCCACCAAACCUGAAAUUUUUGGUUUGGUCAACAUUUUAAUUCAACUGUACUCAAUGUAUUAACAAUGGUGAUUUGAUAUGAUGGAUGUAAUUGAUAAUCAAUGCAGUGCCAUUUAUAGACUGCCUAAAAGUGCAUUGUACAUCAUUUUGACAACAUAUUUACCUGCAUUGUUUGGGCAAAAUGAAUUUUAAAAUUAUUUUUUGUUUCCUAAAUUUGUAUCAAUUGAAAAAAAAAAAGUCAUCUGGGUAGCAGACAGAAGUCAGCCUGGGACUACAGUGGGUCAUAACCCUGAGGAUUCAAAUGUGGGCAAUGGCAACAACAUCAGCGACUAAAGCUGUCAGUGGAGAAAAGAAGAAAGCACACGCCAGCCACCCUGCAGAACAAUGCAGUUCUUUCAGAGUCACAUAGUCCUAAAUCUGGAAACCAUCACAGCUGAGAGGAUAAGCUUUGGAACCCGAUAGUGGUCUAAAACUAGGCUCUGCCUGCCAUGGACAAACUACAAGAGACUGGGAAGUGAGUUAAACCUGAGCUAAAUCCCAGUUUCCUUCUCUGCAAAACAGGGAGUGGGGACAGUGGAAUAACACCUCCCUCAUAGAACUGUUGGGAGGCAUAAAUGACCCUCAGCACAGGGUGGUGUGUAUGGAAUGUGCAUCAUAAGUGGCAGCUAUUUUGAUAAUUACUAAACAUGAUGAAUGAUGAUAAGCGAAAUAAUAACACAGCUUUUCAACAUUUUCACUCAAUAAGUUAAAUUUAUAAUAGGCAAGCAAAGGAGUUUCCAGAAUUAAGCAUCUGAUGGGAGCUUAGACAGGUUGACUUUUACAGCUCAUUCUAACCCUGAGUGAGGGUCUGUGAUUUUAUAAGCCCUUUUAGGGUUCGAGUGCUACUUCUAAUCAAGAUCCUGGUAUCAUGUUUUUCUCCAUUACGUGGAACAAUAAUGAAUAGAUAAAUAAAAUAUAACUGGGAAAGGAGAACACAGAUUGAACACAUGCAUUUAUCUCCACUCUUGUCCAAAACCUCACAGUAAAAUAAUUUAAAAUACAUGAACCUAUAAGAACAAGAGAGGGGAGAUAUGAUGAAAGAGAAAACCAAAAUUUUGGAAGUUGGAAAAAAAUGGAAGGCUGGUUAGCCAAUUAGGGACAGUAGAAAGCUGCAUAUCUGUAAGGCACAUGCUGCCAAGAGAGAAAAGCAAGGCAAUUUGGAUGUGGAACCUCAGACAGGCUUAGAAUAGGAAACAGAUCCAUGAGUCAUGACACUGUGGUUGAGAUUUCUGCUUUAGCCAUUCCAGCGUAUGCUUGUUUUUCCCUAAAAGUCUUUACUCAUUUGUUUUCUCUCUUCCGCCCAGUGAACAUCUACUCAUUCUUCAAAACCCAGAACUGUUGUUGUUUCUUGAAAAAUGGAGAUUAUUCCAAAGUUCUUUUAGCCUUUGCAAUGUGAAGGCAUGUGUCAGGGUUGGGAGGAGUUGGGGAACAGCACCUCUUUCUUUUAACGUCCAAUUGAUUGAGGCCAAUGGGUCAUCCUGCCUCCUUCCCUAAAUAUUCCUGAGAAUGCUCAGAGAGGGCCCACAUGUUCCCUAAGUCCAUUCUGGUUACCCUGUGUGCCUUCUUGCUCUGGUCUGCUGCUCCCAGCUUCUUCACGAUCACUUGUGAUCAUUUGCUAGCCUUUUUUUAGUCCAUUUUACUCCAAAGCAAGAAUACAGUACUUGCUCCUUACUCUCCAAUGCUUACCAAUGCAACAACAAGAGGUAAUAGUAUUUAACAAAUUUUGAUACGGAGGAAAGGAAAACCUAAAAUAAGGUACCAUGUAUCACUAUUCCUGAAUUCUGUCAUCAUGUCCCUUUAAAGGCAGUGCUCUAUAGGUUCCGUCUCUCCUGUGGCCCCAGCCUGCUGCCACUGGAACAAGGGUCCAGGGUUCUUAAUGCACGGAAGUCUUCAUCUUAUCCCCCACAAAUCUACAGCCAAAAGAAGGAAAUACCCAUUGAUGACACGAUAGACAAUAUAACAGUUGACAAGAUAAUUGAUACAGCGUGCCCAAUGUGAAGAGAGAAUUUGUCACGGCUAGAGUAGUGAACCUUCUCCAGGUGAACCAUCUGCCGUUGGAAGCUUCCUUUUGUCCAGGGCUCCUGCAAGGCCAGUGAGUAGGUACUUCUAUCUACACAUGACUGAAAAAGACUUACCAAAACCAAUAUAUUCCCAAGGAUACUUUCUAAAUUCUACCCAAGGAGCAGAUGCUGCUCACAAUUCUCUAAAACAAGGUCUUUUUUUUUUCAACCCCAGAUAUAUCAAGAAUGGGACACAAUCUCCGAGGAAGAAAUUGUCAGCAUCUAUCUUGAAAAUAUCUUUGGUUUCCCAUUACAUUUCGGAUUUCUCUAGACCAUAUUUGUAGUUCCCUUUUUGGUGUUCCCAUUCUUGUAAGUUUAUAUAAACAGCAAUAAGACUAUAGCUCUUCUCACAGGAUACUUUGUUAUUUCUUAAUGGGACUGUCUGUCCUGUAGGCUAUGAGCUAUUUGAGGGCAAAGAAUAUUCUAUUCAUCUUUAUAUUCCUGGCACAUGGUAGGCACUCAGUAAUGCUGCUGCUGAAUUGAAUCGGCUGUGGGAAAAAAACAAAUGCUUCUCCUCAGUCAGCAUUUGUUUUCUAGGAUCUAUUCCAAUAUAUUUCCAACAAAAAUAUGAGAUUUAAAAGAUAGGCAGAGAGUGAAUUGAACUGAAUAUUGCACAAAAACUCCUUGUCUUUAAAGGUGGAAACAAAAUCCACCACCUUCCCAAGAUAGCUGUUCUGUCUCACAUCUUCUUGAAGCAAUGAAAUGAUGAGUACUGUGAUCAGAGAGGACCCUCAGAAAAUAAAUAAAAACCCAGCUCUACAAAUGCAGCCGUAAGCCAGGAGGAUAUGACGAAGGAUAUCAUUAUCAUCCUGAUAUUUUUAGAAGUUCUUUGGUGACAGGUCAGAUUUUUGAGAAUCAGAAAAUGAUAAAAAUAAUCUUGUUAUUCCACAAAGGAGGCUCUAUAUAUAUCAGGCCGAUUUUGAACACUGCCUGAGAAUGUUGAGAAAAUAUUUUUAAAUGUUAGUGAAAUGAUAGGCUUUGGGGGCAGACCCAGCCUCGCUUUAGAAAAAGCUUUAUCGUGGGGGGAUUGAGAGAUUUUAGUGAUGUGAGCAUUGUAAAGAAUCAGCAGUGAGUGGGUGUAAGUUUUUGUUUUCCAAUUUUCCAGAGGAGGGUCCACCUGGGAAGAAUUUCAUGAAAUUUACAGAAAUCUGAAAAUUGCUUUUGAAGCUAUUACAGGUACCUGGGGAGUCCUCCUUGGCCCCACAGGCUGACUACACUAUCCAGAUCUUAAGGGACUCUCAUCUUUCCUAACUUCUAGGUUGCAGGAUUCUGCAGAAUUACUUCUGCAGCUUCCAUUUGUAGCUAUUGCUAAGUGGACCCAUAGCUAUAUGGGAUGUGGGGCUCUGGAUUUCAGGUAGAAAUGACCCUUUGUUUAUUUGAGAUGUUUGCUUCUUUAAAUACUCAGCCAUCUGACUCUCUAAUUGUUUAGGAUUAGUCAUAAGUUAAGUAGGACAGGGAAGAUGUUAUAAAUAGUUUAUUGCAUAUCCAUUCAAGAAAUUUAGGCUAAGUUUAUAUAUUUUACCUUCUGAAAGGAGAAAGCCUGUGUGUUUAUUUAAAGCAUUGUAGAUUUUUUCUCAUUUAGAAUAUAUGAGUCUAGUAUAAAAAUUGAUUCUAGAUGAUUUAUAUGUAAGUUGCUCUUUUCUUCAUACUUAUUUUGCUACCUUUUUAUUUCAUGUUUUUUCUUAAGUAUGACUUUGAGCCUUUAAAAGUAUUUCCUUUAUGUCUCUUUUGAAUAUCAAAAACAACAUGAAUUAAAAAUAGAAGUCUACAUAUCAAGGAAACUUUGUAUAUAUAUUUCUUUGGAGUUAGGGGGUGAUUUCUAUCAUUACUCUGAGUUUAUUUUACUGAACAGUAUAUUUUUGAGAAAGUGGAUCAUACUAUGACCAAUAAGACUUGACUAUAAAAGUAAAAUAAUACCAAAAUAUAAUACUGAUAAACAUAUAGGUGUCUAAAGAAAAAUGUUGCAUAUUUCUACAGCAGGGCAAUUAACCAUAGGACUUCUAAGAGGCCUAUGUCACAUAGGGCCCACACAUUCCUCCAUCUGCCAAGCCUUUAAAUUUAGGCACCAGAGAUCACCUGCAAAAUGCAAGCAUGUUAUCGGGAGGGGCAAUACAAUAAUACCUACCAUCUGGUGUUGUUAGUUAUCAAGUCACUGGUCUGUCUCCUAAGCGUAGCUCUGAGAUAAGGGGAAAGAAGGAAGAGAUCUGAGGAGGCAAUGCUGUUCUGGCCCACCUGGGGGAGAACCAUGAAGUCCACCUCUGAGCAGCCAGCAUCCCAGGAGGGAAAAGGAAGCCAGAGGGACCAUGUGGGAGCCAGGGGGACCACACUGACUUCACAAGGUUGCUACGAGGCUGCAAUUACCCAUGUGGCAGAUCCACUUGGAGUAAGUAAUAUUUUCAGUGGAAAUUUAUGUAAGCUCUGUCCAGUGUUUCAUGGAGUUUCUGCAGGUAAAGGACUGUGUGAUAAUAUUUCCAGUAAACAACUUCUUUAGAAAUUCUGCAGCCCAGCAGCACCAAGCAUGAGUUUGAUGCAGGUAACUUGAGUGGACAGCACAUUCUGGGAAGACAGGUAUUGGGAGUUCUCUUUGGCAGGUGUGAGUGGCAUCUCAAGAGUGUUCCUGGAGUUCCCACUCUGAAUGGCUGCCUGUGCUGAAAGCAUUCUCACUGCAGCACGAGAGAGAAAUGCAGGAGUGUCUCAUCACGACUUGAGACUUGCAAAAGACGUCAAGAAUGAGAGUGGGUCAAAGAUAAGGAACAGUGCUCAGUUGGGGUCUAAAUGGUCUCAUCCAGUGCCCUUUGGAUGCUGCACACUGUGUUGGUGCCAAUCACUUAGGAUGAGUCUUUCCAGGUCAUUAUAAGCCUCACAGCCUUGGUGAAGUGUGUUGUCAGAUGGCUGAUAUUCAUGACCCCAAGUGGAGAAGGAGGCUGUAGUUUGCUAGCCUGCUCCAUCAGAUUCCCAAAGGAGUUACCCUAUAACCUCAGGGCAGUGCAUUUAUAUCGACAUCUUACUGAAGGAUUGGCUCUUGGGCAGAUAAUUGUUCUUACUUUCUCUUUCUGCUCAACAAAAAGCGUAAUGUGAUGGAAGAGAAAAUGACUUAGUGUGGUGAGGCCAUGAAUUUAAUCUCAUUCUAACAAUUUAAAACUUAUGUCAUUCAGGACAAUUAAUUUAGUCCCAUUGAAUCCCAUUUUUGAAGUGCAGAUGAUCAUAAUAAUUGCUUCAGAGGGCUGUUGAGAAGAUAAAAUAAGGUCAGGAGUGAAAAUUUGACAUUUAUCAAAAUGUUUGUGAGGUUCCUAGUGGCAUGAACUGGCUCCUGAUCAGACAGUCAGCUUGAAUAUAUACCAGACUUUCUGAAGGGAAAAGUUCCAGGGUUCCUCCUGAGUAGACUCAGGUUUGGGAGCACUUUCUAUGAGUUUUAGAUAUAAAAGAAACCUUAGAAAUAAUCUUGUAUAGCCACCUUUUAAAAAAAUUGUAUUUAGAAUUUAAUUUUAUGAAAGAAACGUCUGUAUAUACUUUUAAAAUCAAAUAUUUAUAAUGAAAAGUAGCAAUUUCCUACCCCACUGUGUCUCAAAUUCCAUUCCCUAGAAGCUAAUAUCCUGAUAAAUUCAAGGAAUUCAAUGUUAUAUGUUGUCUAGUAUGUACUGCUCUAAUAUAUGAGUAUUUAGUUUAUUACACUCCCCAUUUCUCUACCCAUCCUCCCAAUAUAGUCUUAUCACUACAUUUAGUUUCUCCAUGGGAUAACUUUGUAACUGUAAAACGUAUACAAUUUUAUUUCUACAUUUGUCAUUGGGCUGUAAUCCUUGAUUCCACAUUUUGAUGAAUCCUUGAUUUUCACAACUUUGAAAGAUGAGUCCAUCCAACUUUUCCUUCACCCCUGUGCAUUACUUCUCACUUCCCAGUCUUUAUCAUUUGAAUUUUUAUCUCUCUGUUGUUAAAAGUUGAUGACAUUUACAUUUUAUUUAUGAGCACAAUUGUGUCUCAUGCCUUGUUUAUAGGUUGUGUAUAAAAGCUUAAAAUCAAUUAACAGUGUUUAGCUAAGUAAAUGUGGUUUACUGUAGAAUCAAGUGGAAUACAUUGAUUAGUUUCCUGUUUUGUACAGCAUUUUGUUUUUCCAAGAGUUUCUAAUUGCCUUUAUUUUUCUUCAUAGCAAUUUUGCCUUAUCUUUUACUUAUUUCAAAAUGUUAAAAUUAUAUUAGCUAUUCUUUAUUUUAUUAUUAUUAUACUUUAAGUUUUAGGGUACAUGUGCAGUCUAAGAGCUUGACCUUGAAACUGUUAAGAUCAGUAACUCUCCAUUCCACAGGGACUCUCUACUCUCCCCCCAGAAACUCUGUUCUUCCCUUCUGAUCAACACUGGUUGACAUCUAGACUGGGGUUUAUAUUUUUUAUCUUGAGAUUUGCCUUUUUUGCUUUUCUAGGUUGAAUCUCCUGUUUCCUGGACCCCAAGUCUUCUGUUUUCUUGAUUUACUUGCUGGGCUGAGGCACACCCUUAAGUAAUUCCCUAACAACAGGGUUGCUCCUAGAUGUGUGGGGCCUCAGAUAAAUAUUUUUUUGUGGGACCUUUUUCUAAAUAAAUAAUUUGACUAAGAAAGUAUUACAAAAUUCAUGGACCCACGUGGGGUAUAGUGUUUUAUUGAAAGUCAUUCAGAAUAAUGGAUACAGAUGAGGUACUUACAUAUUCAUUACUUAAUCAGUGCAUGUGAAAAUUCUUUCUUCAUAAUGUCCAGGCACUAUCUCUGUGUUCUUGGCUAAUUCCAUAUCUCCAGUCAUGAAGAAAAGUAGCAAUACUGUCAUUACUCACAAUGCCAAGUUCUUGGGAACUUGUUUACAAUGAACAAUAUAGAUCUGUACUACUUUUGCAAUACAAUUUAUUGAAGUCUGGUUAUAUUGUUAUAGAUGAUGCUGCACCAUGAAUACUGGCUUUCAAUGACUUUCUCAAAAGUUGUUGCUGUGCUUCAUUGUUGAUGACCAAAAAUGCAAGUCUUAUCCAGAGUAUGCAAGAAAAUGUGAACAAUAAUUUGUUUUCUGAUUAUGUUGAAUUUACUGUUUAUAAUCUGAACAUAGAGCAUGUCUUCCAACUCUAUCUUCUCUUAAACUCUAUGCUGUAAUUACUACAUUCCUAGACAGUGAUUCUUUUCAUGUUAACUGCACUCCUGCCUUCCACUCACUGCCACCAGUGGAGAGGACUAAAUGAAUGAGAAGAGCAGCCUCAUUGGCACAAGGAACAUCUCUCAUCAGGAAUGGCUUCAACUGAUCCAGGAGUGCUUGAUAUCCCCACAUCUGUGGAGGCAGGGGAGGACAUCAAUUGGAAAAGCCCCUUGCUGUUUCAGAGCAAAGAUCUUGAAAGCACCAGGUAGAGAAAGAUGUAGCCAUUGUCAAAAGACUGCCUGUUAGAUGAAUGGGACAGUGGGAUGACCACCCUGGGUUCAGUGGUAAAGUCAAAUGGAGUAAAGGAUGCCUGUUGCCACCCCAGCUGCACUUGGGUGCUGAAGAUCAGAAGUGAAACUACAGAACAAAUCCAGAUGAGAGCUCACCUAGGGGCUCACACAUAUAGUUCAGGCCAAGGUUCAGUGAUGGACCAUCAUCAGUACUCAGAGCACUGAACUUGUCCUGGGUGUGAUGUAUUUGAGAGUCACUUAAAAUCAUCAUAUCGCUGCCAUUUUGGCCACCCAAUCUCAUAGGAUUCUGUGAAAUAAAUAUGGCACUGGGCAGCAGGAGCAAUUCACUUGUCAGGAAUCCCUCCUGGAAUCAGGGCUUGGCCAAGGACUUCAAGCCAACCACCCAAGGCAUGAAUCCCAGAACUCCUGGGGGCAUCUGGCAACUUCAUGUGCAGAAUAUAUCUUCUCUGACCUAGUGUGGCUGAUGAUGAGAGGUCUGAUGCUGGUUGAAGUUCUUGGUUUUCACAGGUAUCUUUUACAUUUCUAUCUUUCCUGCUAAACCUUCUCAGUAUCUUCUAUUAUGGAUGUAUUGAAGUUUUAUAGUGAUGGGUCUAGAUGUGUGUGUGUAUGUCUGCAUGUGUAUGCACAUAUGUGAGUUGUCAACUUGAGCACUUGGGUACUUGAUUGGCUUCUUAAUUUGGAUACUCAUGUCCUUUGACUCUGGGACAAUCCUUUGCGAUAAUUCUUUGAUUUCUUUCUUUUUGUUUUUCUCUUUUUGUCACUCCUAUUGAUCAGAUGUGGGGCCUCUUGGACUGAUCCUCAACACAUCUUACCUUUCUCAUUUUCUUACAUCUUCUUGCCUUUGUUCUACAACAUUGGUUUUAUUAUAUUUUACCUACUAUUAGAAUUUCGGGCUCAUAUAUUUAUUUUUCAAUAGUUUUUCCUUGUUAGCUAGUUGUACUUUGUUGAUGCAAUAUUUUUUUUUACUACUCUUUCUAAGAAUAUUUAUUAAAGAGUUUUUAAAGGUUAAAUUGUGUUUCCAAAUUAUUUCUCUUCUUUCCAACGUUGCAUAUGCUGCUUGUUAAUCUUGGUUUCUCUCUUUUGGGUUGUAGAUGUUCCUCAGAGAUCUUUGGGUGUUACAUCACAUUUAAGAGCCAGACAAU